This 294-nucleotide ribosomal RNA is filed under the name uncultured bacterium. RNAcentral describes it as "partial 16S ribosomal RNA". It matches the Rfam family "Bacterial small subunit ribosomal RNA", at positions 334 to 642 of the family's 1533-position model. The record is from RNAcentral.
UGUACCUACGGGGCGCAGCAGUGGGGAAUAUUGGGCAAUGGGCGCAAGCCUGACCCAGCAACGCCGCGUGAAGGAAGAAGGCUUUCGGGUUGUAAACUUCUUUUGUCAGGGACGAAGCAAGUGACGGUACCUGACGAAUAAGCCACGGCUAACUACGUGCCAGCAGCCGCGGUAAUACGUAGGUGGCAAGCGUUAUCCGGAUUUACUGGGUGUAAAGGGCGUGUAGGCGGGGAGGCAAGUCAGAUGUGAAAACCACGGGCUCAACCUGUGGCCUGCAUUUGAAACUGUUUUUCU